Molecule: transfer RNA, 68 nt
Filed under: Nihonogomphus minor
Lineage: Eukaryota; Metazoa; Arthropoda; Insecta; Odonata; Gomphidae
Description: tRNA-Leu
Source: RNAcentral
UAUUUACUGUGCAAUUCAGUUUAAUUUGAAUAAUAAUUUUCUUACUAUUUUUAUUUGUUUUAUUUAUU